AUGUAGUCCUGGAUGUCCUGAAACUUUAUCUGUAGACCAGGCUGGUGUUGAACUUAGAGAAUAACCUGUCUCUGCCUCCUGAGUGUUGGAACUAAAAGUGUGUGCCACUACAUUCGGCAAGUAAUUGAUUUCUUUAAGCGAACACAGGACUAACGGAGCCGACAAAGCCGGAAUGAGGCCCUGCACUUUCCACAUUUGAAUGUCAGACGGGCUCUGCUCCCACUCCUUUCGGCAGCACCCUUGGUUGUGUGGGUGAGGAGACGAAGACUUUCCCAGUGAGUAUGGUGGUGGAAACCUGCAUCCAAACUCCGGCUGGGAUCUAGAACUUCUUCCAUCUGCCUCUGUGACAAAAGCAGACUAGCGACAUCCCAGCAUCAUUCCUACCCUCCCAGUGACCCAAGAUGUCAUCUAUAAAGACUGUUCACUGUGCAAAGAACUCCAGGAGAGAUGGAGGCUGUCUCGAAUUGGGACCCAGUAAGUCCCUAAACUUAUUACCACAACUCACCAAGCAUUUUCUUGCUGGAAGGGUCAUGUUCUUCUGGAUCCCUGAGUCUGGAAUGUCAUUCUCUUUGCAGCCACCUCUUCCACUUCUAGUUCACAAAAACUAGCUUUUAUGUAAACUCCAAGCUGAGAGUAAGCAGUUGUGCUGCCUAGUUUUGAUGUCACCGGGGAAGAGGUAAUCUCAACUGAGAAAAUGCCUCCAUUUUUUGGUGUAAUUGGAGUUGAGGGCUCAGCUCAUUGUGGGUGUCUUGUCUGAGCAUGUGGUCCUGGAUUAUAUAAAAUACCAACCUAAGGGAGCCAUAAGUAAGCAAGGAAGCAUCGUUCCUCCGAGUCCUGUCAGGAGUCCCUGCUAGGACUUCUCGUCAUGAUGAUUGUACAUGUGCAUCAACCUUUCCUCCCUCAGCUGCUUUUGGUCAUGGUCUUCAUCACAUCAGCAGCAGCGAACUAGGACAGUGGUGUGCUUCUGCAAUUCUGCAGCCCAAGCAGCUGGGAGGACUGAUCAAGAGAAUCUCUAGUUCAAAACUAGCCUGGGCUGCAUAGCCUGACACCCUGCCUCAGAGUAAAAAAAACUUCCAUAGUG
Molecule: long non-coding RNA, 1081 nt
Organism: Arvicola amphibius (Eurasian water vole)
Lineage: Eukaryota; Metazoa; Chordata; Mammalia; Rodentia; Cricetidae
Exons: 3
Source: RefSeq, a predicted model, not a curated record